GGAGGAAGUAAAAAGGCGAGUUGGAUCUCCUGAAAACCUUUCAUCGACUAUGGUCUGUCAGUUGUUAAAGAGGAGCAGAUCAGUGGCAAAUAUUCCACCAGGAAUUGUUAUAAGAAAGAACAUCAAGACUUCUAUAAGCUUAUUUUCAGGCCUUACAGAAGGAGAGGCAAAAGACUUGGCUGAUGAUUUCAGCAACAUUGUUGAAAAGAGCGAAAUCUUUUCAAGGCUUAGUAAAAUUUGCUCAUCAAGAAAAGAAGCUAAUGAAGUUCGAGAUGUUCUACUUAAAGCUGUUGACGUAUUAGAAAAUAUUGGAGACCUAGAAGAGGGAAGCAGACUUACUCAUGGUUUUAUGAAACCAGCUUUAACUUUUGUUGUUAAAGAGUUGGCAAAACACAUAGAUUAAUUUUUAUACGACCGCAAAAGUAAUUUUUUUGGGUCGUAUAUUGGUAUCACGUCGUCGUCGUCGUCGUCAGCGCCGUGCGAAGACAGAUGGUUUCCGGAUAAUAACUUUUAUAUAAGUAAAUAGAAAUCAAUAUAAUUUUAACACAAUGUUUAUAACCACAAAAGGAAGGUUGGGAUUGAUUUUGGGGUUAUGGUCCCAAAGGUUUAGGAAUAAGGGGCCCAAAGGGGCCCAAAACAAGCAUUUAUCUAAUUUUAGGACAAUAACUUGUGUAUAAGUAAUUCAAUUGCUCUGAAAUUGUACCACAAUGUUUAAUACCAUAAGUAGAAGGUUGGGAUUUAAUUUAAGGGUUAUGGAGCAAAUAGUCUAGGAAUUAAGGGCCAAAAAGGGCCCAAAAACAUGCAUUUUUCUAGUUUCCGCACAAUAACUUGUGUGUAACUGUAUGGACCUCUCUGACAUUUUACUACAAGGUUCAAUAUAACAAAGGAAAGCCUGGGAUUGAGUUUGGGGUUAAUUUCCCCGAACAUGUAGGAAUGAGGGGCCAAAAAAGGGCCAAAAAGAAGCAUUUUUCUAGUUUACAGACAAUAACUUGUGUUUAAGUGUAUGGAUCUCUCUAAAAUUAUACUACAAGGUUUCUUUCUACAAAGGAAAGGCUGGAAUUGAAUUUUGGGGUUCUUGCUCCAAGGGGGGUUUCAAAAAGUUGGGGCCAAAAAGGGGCCCAAAUAAGCAUUUUUGUAGUUUCCAGUCAAUAACUUGUGUUUAAGUGAAUAAAUCUCUCUGAAAUUGUACGACAAGUUUCCAUACUACCAAGGAAUGGUUAUGGGGGGUUAUGCUUAAAAUCAUUUAGCAAUUAGGGGCAAAAAGAAGGAAAAACAAGGGUUUUUCUGGUUAAAGGACAAUUUAGACAAUUUAAAAGCAGUGUAAGGGAGGUAAUCCAAUUCCAUUUAAAGAAUACUGUUAUAUAUAUGUUUGAUUACACUGCUUGCAAAUUAUGUAUUAAGGAAUGAUAUUGUCUUGAGAUGAUUAGCUGUAAUCUUUUUUUAGAAGUUACUAUUAAUUAAUAUUAAUUUUAACCAUGACUGUAUGUCAUUUUAUAUUUCAAUAUGUUAUGAUAUAUUUAAAUGAGUAGUUAUUGUUGCAAACUCCAUUAGAAAUUUGAAUGGAGAUUAUUUUUGGAACAAGGGAA
Mytilus californianus (California mussel) is the source of this 1586-nucleotide long non-coding RNA. RefSeq lists it as uncharacterized. NCBI's taxonomy places the organism in Eukaryota, Metazoa, Mollusca, Bivalvia, Mytilida, Mytilidae. The record is from RefSeq and is a predicted model, not a curated record. The transcript has 3 exons.